UACGUAGGGUGCAAGCGUUGUCCGGAAUUAUUGGGCGUAAAGAGCUCGUAGGCGGCUUGUCGCGUCGGCUGUGAAAACCUGGGGCUCAACCCCGGGCCUGCAGCCGAUACGGGCAAGCUAGAAUUCGGUAGGGGAGACUGGAAUUCCUGGUGUAGCGGUGAAAUGCGCAGAUAUCAGGAGGAACACCCGUGGCGCAAGCGGCCACCUAGCCCACACCUGACGCUGAGGCGCGACAGCGUGGGGAGCGAACUGG
Molecule: ribosomal RNA, 253 nt
Filed under: uncultured bacterium
Lineage: Bacteria
Description: partial 16S ribosomal RNA
Rfam family: Bacterial small subunit ribosomal RNA
Source: RNAcentral